This 245-nucleotide ribosomal RNA is filed under the name uncultured bacterium. RNAcentral describes it as "partial 16S ribosomal RNA". It matches the Rfam family "Bacterial small subunit ribosomal RNA", at positions 88 to 334 of the family's 1533-position model. The record is from RNAcentral.
AUGGCGACCGGCGCACGGGUGAGUAACACGUAUCCAACCUGCCGAUAACUCGGGGAUAGCCUUUCGAAAGAAAGAUUAAUACCCGAUGGUAUAAUCAGACCGCAUGGUCUUGUUAUUAAAGAAUUUCGGUUAUCGAUGGGGAUGCGUUCCAUUAGGCAGUUGGUGAGGUAACGGCUCACCAAGCCUUCGAUGGAUAGGGGUUCUGAGAGGAAGGUCCCCCACAUUGGAACUGAGACACGGUCCAA